RNAcentral lists this unclassified non-coding RNA (234 nucleotides) under uncultured fungus. Its description in RNAcentral is "sequence contains ITS1". Lineage: Eukaryota; Fungi. The record is from RNAcentral.
GUAUUGAUCGCGUAUCACCGCAAAAAGAAAAUACAUUCUACACUGCUUUAAGGUUUGUGUGAAAAAACGUGAGCACCCCCCUCCGAGGAAGGGGGGACACACGCGGUGAUGCACAAAGGGGUGAGAUGGAUAUUUGUAUGUGAGAGCACUCGGGCGUGCACGACAAAAAGUCAGCGACAACCCGGGUACCCCCAUUGUACGAUAAUGAUCCUUCCGCAGGUUCACCUACGGAAA